AUAGUGGAAUUUGGGGACUCAGAUCAGAUCUCAUUGGUAUUGGCUUAUCUAGAAUAUCCCUAUCAUUUGCAAAUGGGAGGUGGGAGAGAAACUUUGAUGGGGCUGACUUGCGAGGGCAACUUUAACAUUGGGUGAGAUUAGUUGGGGUUGGAUCGGAUCAAAAUCCAAGGUGCUUAUGCUAUUGUGAGAGAUUAUCUAAGGAUGCUGUGGUCGAGAACCUUACUCAAACUUUCUCGUGAGUUAGUUUAGUUAAUAAGAGUAGUGCUCUCAAUAGGGCUAUCUGACUAGAAUUGUAGCACUAAGUUAGAUCAGUGCGAGGACCAGUGAGACUAUAAUACACAGUACACAUACUUUUGUGAGGGAUGCACUAUAGCUGACCCAAUCAGCCAUUCGUACUGAAAUUUUCUUCGUUAAAUCAACAUGCGGUUAAUGUAAGAGACUUUGUCCCAACUAUCAAUCUGAGGUGCAUCUUCGAAAUCAUCAAAAUCCUCAUUGACACUCCAAACAUAUAACUAUAAACCAACUGGAGUCAUUGCAACUUUUGUUAACAGAUACUUGCCAAUUAUUUUAUUCUUGAUGUCAAAAUAGAAUAUUGAUGCAAACUGAACUGCUUAUUUUAUCACAUCGAUUCACCUAUCUCUUGAUUUUCCAUUAUUUUAUGAGUCUGAUUUCUGUGUUUUGGGAAUUUUCAAGUAAAAAUGUUUGCUAAAUUGCUGCAUUUGAGAAUGCGAUUGUAUUGCUGCAGCCUUUUGAGUGAAUUUUGCUGUGGGUAUUAUACAUAGUUGUUGUCGAUUAUAGUUUGAAAACUCGAAACAGAGAGCGGACAUUUUCUAGUAAUGCCCAAAGCUCAAAGCCCAAAUCUCUUUUUCCUCCUAUUCCCAAUCCCCUUCCUUCAUCCAACUACCCCUCAGCCACCUCUCUCUUUCCACCACCCAAUUCUUAAUUUCUAAUUUUUUUUUUUUUGAUAAUGUACUAAAUUAGUUGCAGUUGCAUCAUUGCAUUAUUACACUAUACCACUGAAUCUACUUAGAAGAUAUGUAGGCCACUCUCUGAAAUGCAAGAUAGAUGAACUCAGUCAAAACUUAAAAGAUUGGACCCCUAGCAUGAUCUAUCUGACAUCCUCAGCGGUACCAAUUUAAUCGAUAAAUUGAUGACGCCACCAAUAUAUUUACACCUUCAACUGAUGCAAUAUUAAACGUUCACUUUGUGAGAGAUGAGGAUAGUUAAGCACACCGACUUCCAGAGGCUGUUGAUAUUUGUAAAAUUCAAAGAACUAAACCUAAUAGAAGGAGAAGCUUUACUUUGAAAAUAAGGAUCUAUUAUGGUAGGGAAGAUAUAAUAUUUUGACAUAUUAAAAAUCACAUAAUCAGUAGUUCACGUGAAACUUAAUGAGGAGUUCAUGCAUAACACGACUUUAGGAACAGCUAGGACCAAUUUUAAUGCAAGAGAACAUUUCAUACUUAAUGAAUCAGUGACCUAAAUUUUUCUCGAGCACUCAAUCUACUUGGUGCGAUGGCAAGUGCCUUCGUCCAUGAGCGGUAGGUCUCGGGUUCGAGACUUGGGAGCAGCCUCUCCAUAAAUGGGGGUAAGGCUAGCCGACAUUCACCUCUCCCAGACCCUGCGUAAAGCGGGAGCCUUGUGCACUGGGUACGACUCAAUCUAUGCGUAAGAUACUACAAAUAAGAGCAAAGUUCAAAACAAAUGCAGGGCAACAAUGUGCAUUCUAUUCCACAUAUUAAUUCCUAAAAAUGAAAAUCUGUCAUAAAAUCAGAACGGUGUUUGAUCUCGUCUUCCCAAAUCUAACAGACACAAUCAAUCUCAACGAAAUAAUAAACCACAUGAUUGACAUUCUCUCUUUCGAAAUAGCUAAUUCAGUUGAGUUCUUAUACUAAAAAAAUGUAGGGAAAGGAUGGUUACAAAAAGCAUAUACAUAACACAUAUUAUAAGACAUUGAUACUAAGUAUCAUCUGCUGUAGUCAAUUUGGUAAAAACUUGACAAAAUUCAGUAUCUACAUGCAUUUAAUCAGAGACAGCUGGGGUAGUCUCCAUCUUCAUUACAAUUUUACUACUGGUUGACCAUUGGGAAUAUCGGAGAAGGUUUGCUGGCAUGAAAAACCUCUAACCAUACAAACAGUAUCUUCUUUAUUGAAAAGCUUUGGAAAAAAAAGUGAAGAAUAUUUUAUCCCAAUUACAAUUGGAAUGAUCAGCUUUAUCUUUUUCAUGUUUUUUUUUUAAGAACCAAAAGAAAAACAAUAAGGUUUAGGUUAAAUCAACAUGCCGGUUAAUGUAAUAGACUUUGUCCCAUCAAUCAAUCUGAGGUGCAUCUUCUAAAUCAUCAAAAUCCUCACUGACACUCAAACAUAUAAGCGAACAGGAGCCAUUGCAACUUUUGUUAACAUAUACUUCCGAAUUCGCCAUUUUGACUGUAUAUUGAUUCUUGAUGUCAACUUAAUAGAAUAUUGAUGCAAACUGAACUGCUUAUUUUAUCGCAUUGAUUCACCUAUUUCUUGGUUUUUCAAUUAUUUGGAGAUGACUAUUAAUUUGUGGUUUUGUGGGAAUUACUCAAGUAAAAUGUGCAUUGUCUAAUUAUUGCAUUUGAGAAUGCGAUUGUAUUGCUGCAGCCUUUUGAUUGAAUUUUGCUGUAGAUAUUAUUCAUAACUGUUGUCGAUUGUAGUUUGAAAACCCGAUACAGAGAGUGGACAUUUUUCAAGUAAUGCCCAAAGCCCAAAUCUAUUUUUCCUCCUAUUCCCAAUUCCCUUUUUCCUUCCACCCACAACCUACCAACUCUCCACGGAUCCACCACCUGCUCCACCUCUCUCCUGUCCACCACCAACGAAUUUCUUAAUUUCUAUUUUUCAUUUUUGAUAAUGUCCUAAUUUUUAAAUUUAACUAAGCUUACAAAUCUUAGCCCAAAUUAAUAAUACAGGAUGCUAUUCAAAUAGAUGUAUAAUGGAUGAAAUUUUUUGAAUUUCUAAUAGAUUAUAGUUAUUGCUAUGCUUAUUAGAUUGUAAUUUAUGAUUUUUUACUAUUUGAUAUGUAUGUAUGUAUGUAUGUAUGUAUGUUCGUUCAUUAACUGAUAUGAUUUUUUGUUUUAAUAAUUGAUAUGUGUAGAAAUUAGAAGUUUGGAACGAUAUUAACACGUGAAAACAUUAUCGAUUAGUUUGGUCAAUAUUAUUUCUCAUUUUAACUCCAAUUUUGGAUGGUUCUGAUCCGAUUUUGGAUACUUCAAG
Molecule: long non-coding RNA, 3230 nt
Filed under: Malus domestica (apple)
Lineage: Eukaryota; Viridiplantae; Streptophyta; Magnoliopsida; Rosales; Rosaceae
Description: long non-coding RNA (MDOM_LNC009564)
Source: RNAcentral